This 465-nucleotide ribosomal RNA is filed under the name uncultured bacterium. RNAcentral's name for it is "partial 16S ribosomal RNA". It matches the Rfam family "Bacterial small subunit ribosomal RNA", at positions 28 to 507 of the family's 1533-position model. The record is from RNAcentral.
GACGAACGCUGGCGGCGUGCUUAACACAUGCAAGUCGAACGGAAAGGCCCCUUUGGGGGUACUCGAGUGGCGAACGGGUGCGUAACACGUGAGUAACCUGCCCUUGACUUCGGGAUAACUUCAGGAAACUGGGGCUAAUACCGGAUAGGAAUCCUUGCUGCAUGGUGGGGGUUGGAAAGCUUCGGCGGUUUUGGAUGGACUCGCGGCGUAUCAGCUUGUUGGUGGGGUAGUGGCUUACCAAGGCUUUGACGGGUAGCCGGCCUGAGAGGGCGACCGGCCACACUGGGACUGAGAGACGGCCCAGACUCCUACGGGUGGCGGCAGUGGGGAAUAUUGCACAAUGGGCGGAAGCCUGAUGCAGCAACGCCGCGUGCGGGAGGACGGCCUUCGGGUUGGAAGCCGAUUUCAGCAGGGGCGAAGCUUGUGGUGACGGUACCUGCAGAAGAAGCACCGGCUAACUACGUG